This 408-nucleotide ribosomal RNA is filed under the name uncultured bacterium. RNAcentral's name for it is "bacterial SSU rRNA". It matches the Rfam family "Bacterial small subunit ribosomal RNA", at positions 32 to 415 of the family's 1533-position model. The record is from RNAcentral.
AAUCAACGCUGGCGGCGUGCCUCAGACAUGCAAGUCGAACGCGAAAGUUUCCUUCGGGGAACAAGUAGAGUGGCGCACGGGUGAGUAACACGUAGGUAAUCUACCUUCGGAUGGGGAAUAACAAUCGGAAACGGUUGCUAAUACCGCAUAAUGCAGCGGCACCUAAUGGUGACAGUUGUUAAAGCGGGGGAGUCGAAAGACCUCGCGUCUGAAGAGGAGCCUGCGGCGGAUUAGCUAGUUGGUAAGGUAACGGCUUACCAAGGCUACGAUCCGUAGCCGGCCUGAGAGGGCGGUCGGCCACACUGACACUGACAUACGGGUCAGACUCCUACGGGAGGCAGCAGUCGGGAAUUUUGGGUCGAAUGGGGGAAACCCGUGACCCAGCAACGCCGCGUGAAGGAUGAAGUA